RNAcentral lists this ribosomal RNA (506 nucleotides) under uncultured bacterium. RNAcentral describes it as "partial 16S ribosomal RNA". It matches the Rfam family "Bacterial small subunit ribosomal RNA", at positions 29 to 523 of the family's 1533-position model. The record is from RNAcentral.
AGUGAACGCUGGCGGUAGGCCUAACACAUGCAAGUCGAACGGCAGCACAGAGGAGCUUGCUCCUUGGGUGGCGAGUGGCGGACGGGUGAGGAAUACAUCGGAAUCUACUCUGUCGUGGGGGAUAACGUAGGGAAACUUACGCUAAUACCGCAUACGACCUACGGGUGAAAGCAGGGGAUCUUCGGACCUUGCGCGAUUGAAUGAGCCGAUGUCGGAUUAGCUAGUUGGCGGGGUAAAGGCCCACCAAGGCGACGAUCCGUAGCUGGUCUGAGAGGAUGAUCAACCACACUGGAACUGAGACACGGUCCAGGCUCCUACGGGAGGCAGCAGUGGGGAAUAUUGGACAAUGGGCGCAAGCCUGAUCCAGCCAUACCGCGUGGGUGAAGAAGGCCUUCGGGUUGUAAAGCCCUUUUGUUGGGAAAGAAAUCCAUCUGGUUAAUACCCGGAUGGGAUGACGGUACCCAAAGAAUAAGCACCGGCUAACUUCGUGCCAGCCGCCGCCGUAA